AAUACAUGCAAGUCGAGCGAACCGAUUAAGAGCUUGCUCUUAAGAAGUUAGCGGCGGACGGGUGAGUAACACGUAGGUAACCUGCCUAUAAGACUGGGAUAACUCCGGGAAACCGGGGCUAAUACCGGAUAACAUUUUGCACCGCAGGUGCGAAAUUGAAAGGCGGCUUCGGCUGUCACUUAUAGAUGGACCUGCGGCGCAUUAGCUAGUUGGUGAGGUAACGGCUCACCAAGGCGACGAUGCGUAGCCGACCUGAGAGGGUGAUCGGCCACACUGGGACUGAGACACGGCCCAGACUCCUACGGGAGGCAGCAGUAGGGAAUCUUCCGCAAUGGACGAAAGUCUGACGGAGCAACGCCGCGUGAGCGAUGAAGGCCUUCGGGUCGUAAAGCUCUGUUGUUAGGGAAGAACAAGUGCUAGUUGAAUAAGCUGGCACCUUGACGGUACCUAACCAGAAAGCCACGGCUAACUACGUGCCAGCAGCCGCGGUAAUACGUAGGUGGCAAGCGUUAUCCGGAAUUAUUGGGCGUAAAGCGCGCGCAGGUGGUUUCUUAAGUCUGAUGUGAAAGCCCACGGCUCAACCGUGGAGGGUCAUUGGAAACUGGGAGACUUGAGUGCAGAAGAGGAAAGUGGAAUUCCAUGUGUAGCGGUGAAAUGCGUAGAGAUAUGGAGGAACACCAGUGGCGAAGGCGACUUUCUGGUCUGCAACUGACACUGAGGCGCGAAAGCGUGGGGAGCAAACAGGUUAG
This 749-nucleotide ribosomal RNA is filed under the name Bacillus subtilis. RNAcentral describes it as "bacterial SSU rRNA". It matches the Rfam family "Bacterial small subunit ribosomal RNA", at positions 50 to 781 of the family's 1533-position model. The record is from RNAcentral. Lineage: Bacteria; Bacillati; Bacillota; Bacilli; Caryophanales; Bacillaceae.